UUCACGGAGAGUUUGAUCCUGGCUCAGGACGAACGCUGGCGGCGUGCCUAACACAUGCAAGUGGAGCGACGAACCAGGCUUCGGCCUGGGGCAGAGCCGCGAACGGGUGAGUAACACGUGGGUAACCUGCCCCGAUGAUUGGGACAACCCGAGGAAACUCGGGCUAAUACCGAAUGUGCCCUACAGCUUCAAGGCUGGUGGGGAAAGGAAGCUUCGGCCUCCGCAUCGGGAUGGGCCCGCGGCCCAUUAGCUUGUUGGUGAGGUAACGGCUCACCAAGGCAACGAUGGGUAGCUGGUCUGAGAGGACGAUCAGCCACACUGGGAC
This 325-nucleotide ribosomal RNA is filed under the name Actinomycetota bacterium. RNAcentral describes it as "bacterial SSU rRNA". It matches the Rfam family "Bacterial small subunit ribosomal RNA", at positions 1 to 319 of the family's 1533-position model. Lineage: Bacteria; Bacillati; Actinomycetota. The record is from RNAcentral.